Molecule: ribosomal RNA, 503 nt
Filed under: uncultured bacterium
Lineage: Bacteria
Description: partial 16S ribosomal RNA
Rfam family: Bacterial small subunit ribosomal RNA
Source: RNAcentral
AUUGAACGCUGGCGGCAGGCUUAACACAUGCAAGUCGAGCGGGGUGAUGGUGCUUGCACUAUCACUUAGCGGCGGACGGGUGAGUAAUGCUUAGGAAUCUGCCUAUUAGUGGGGGACAACAUCUCGAAAGGGAUGCUAAUACCGCAUACGGCCUACGGGAGAAAUCAGGGGAUCACUUGUGACCUUGCGCUAAUAGAUGAGCCUAAGUCGGAUUGGCUAGUUGGUGGGGUAAAGGCCUACCAAGGCGACGAUCUGUAGCGGUUCUGAGAGGAUGAUCCGCCACACUGGGACUGAGACACGGCCCAGACUCCUACGGGAGGCAGCAGUGGGGAAUAUUGGACAAUGGGGGGAACCCUGAUCCAGCCAUGCCGCGUGUGUGAAGAAGGCCUUAUGGUUGUAAAGCACUUUAAGCGAGGAGGAGGCUCUUUUGGUUAAUACCCAAGAUGAGUGGACGUUACUCGCAGAAUAAGCACCGGCUAACUCUGUGCCAGCCGCCGCGGUAA